Molecule: non-coding RNA, 332 nt
Organism: Notechis scutatus (mainland tiger snake)
Lineage: Eukaryota; Metazoa; Chordata; Lepidosauria; Squamata; Elapidae
Source: RefSeq, a predicted model, not a curated record
UUGUUAGUAGGUGCAUGCAUAAAAAUCAAGCUAGGCCUUAUUUUGGGGGUGGGUCUUAUUUUUUUGGAAAACACGGUAAUUUUAAAAAACUUUUAAAAAACAACUACCAAUCAACACAAUGAGAUUUUUUAUGGAUCCAAAAGGAAAGGGGGAAAAUAUCUUAAUUGGCCCAAUAUAGUGUCCCCACUUUAUGUUGCAUGCAUUUAAAUAAUGUACAAGUUUUUAAAAAUAUGAAAGAUAUUCAGAAGCAUUGUUCUAUACUAUUUUCUAUAUGUCCUAUUCAAUAGUAGCUUUUUUCUUUUUGCUACUGGCUAUUUUAUUACACAAUAUUU